Molecule: ribosomal RNA, 741 nt
Filed under: Klebsiella variicola
Lineage: Bacteria; Pseudomonadati; Pseudomonadota; Gammaproteobacteria; Enterobacterales; Enterobacteriaceae
Description: bacterial SSU rRNA
Rfam family: Bacterial small subunit ribosomal RNA
Source: RNAcentral
AGUGAACGCUGGCGGCAGGCCUAACACAUGCAAGUCGAGCGGCAGAGGAAAGUAGCUUGGUACUUUGCCGGCGAGCGGCGGACGGGUGAGUAAUGUCUGGGAAACUGCCUGAUGGAGGGGGAUAACUACUGGAAACGGUAGCUAAUACCGCAUAACGUCGCAAGACCAAAGAGGGGGACCUUCGGGCCUCUUGCCAUCAGAUGUGCCCAGAUGGGAUUAGCUAGUAGGUGGGGUAACGGCUCACCUAGGCGACGAUCCCUAGCUGGUCUGAGAGGAUGACCAGCCACACUGGAACUGAGACACGGUCCAGACUCCUACGGGAGGCAGCAGUGGGGAAUAUUGCACAAUGGGCGCAAGCCUGAUGCAGCCAUGCCGCGUGUAUGAAGAAGGCCUUCGGGUUGUAAAGUACUUUCAGCGGGGAGGAAGGCGUUGAGGUUAAUAACCUCAUCGAUUGACGUUACCCGCAGAAGAAGCACCGGCUAACUCCGUGCCAGCAGCCGCGGUAAUACGGAGGGUGCAAGCGUUAAUCGGAAUUACUGGGCGUAAAGCGCACGCAGGCGGUCUGUCAAGUCGGAUGUGAAAUCCCCGGGCUCAACCUGGGAACUGCAUUCGAAACUGGCAGGCUAGAGUCUUGUAGAGGGGGGUAGAAUUCCAGGUGUAGCGGUGAAAUGCGUAGAGAUCUGGAGGAAUACCGGUGGCGAAGGCGGCCCCCUGGACAAAGACUGACGCUCAGUGCGAAGC